RNAcentral lists this ribosomal RNA (498 nucleotides) under uncultured bacterium. RNAcentral's name for it is "partial 16S ribosomal RNA". It matches the Rfam family "Bacterial small subunit ribosomal RNA", at positions 29 to 523 of the family's 1533-position model. The record is from RNAcentral.
AUUGAACGCUGGCGGCAUGCUUUACACAUGCAAGUCGAACGGUAACAGGCCGCAAGGUGCUGACGAGUGGCGAACGGGUGAGUAGUGCAUCGGAACGUGCCCAGUCGUGGGGGAUAACGCAGCGAAAGCUGCGCUAAUACCGCACACGAUCUAUGGAUGAAAGCGGGGGACCGUAAGGCCUCGCGCGAUUGGAGCGGCCGAUGUCAGAUUAGGUAGUUGGUGAGGUAAAGGCUCACCAAGCCAACGAUCUGUAGCUGGUCUGAGAGGACGACCAGCCACACUGGGACUGAGACACGGCCCAGACUCCUACGGGAGGCAGCAGUGGGGAAUUUUGGACAAUGGGCGCAAGCCUGAUCCAGCAAUGCCGCGUGCAGGAAGAAGGCCUUCGGGUUGUAAACUGCUUUUGUACGGAACGAAACGGUCCGGGUUAAUACCCUGGGCUAAUGACGGUACCGUAAGAAUAAGCACCGGCUAACUACGUGCCAGCAGCCGCCGUAA